RNAcentral lists this ribosomal RNA (416 nucleotides) under uncultured bacterium. RNAcentral describes it as "bacterial SSU rRNA". It matches the Rfam family "Bacterial small subunit ribosomal RNA", at positions 355 to 786 of the family's 1533-position model. The record is from RNAcentral.
UGGGGAAUAUUGGGCAAUGGGGGAAACCCUGACCCAGCAACGCCGCGUGAGGGAAGAAGGUCUUCGGAUUGUAAACCUUUGUCCUAUGGGACGAAAGAAAUGACGGUACCAUAGAGGAAGCUCCGGCUAACUACGUGCCAGCAGCCGCGGUAAUACGUAGGGAGCAAGCGUUGUCCGGAAUUACUGGGCGUAAAGGGUGCGUAGGUGGUCAAGUAAGUCAGAUGUGAAAGACCGGGGCUCAACCCCGGGGUUGCAUUUGAAACUGUUUGACUUGAGUACAGGAGAGGGAAGUGGAAUUCCUAGUGUAGCGGUGAAAUGCGUAGAUAUUAGGAGGAACACCAGUGUCGAAGGCGACUUUCUGGACUGUAACUGACACUGAGGCACGAAAGCGUGGGGAGCAAACAGGAUUAGAUACC